UACGUAGGGUGCAAGCGUUAAUCGGAAUUACUGGGCGUAAAGCGUGCGCAGGCGGCUUUGCAAGACAGAUGUGAAAUCCCCGGGCUUAACCUGGGGACUGCAUUUGUGACUGCAAGGCUGGAGUGCGGCAGAGGGGGAUGGAAUUCCGCGUGUAGCAGUGAAAUGCGUAGAUAUGCGGAGGAACACCGAUGGCGAAGGCAAUCCCCUGGGCCUGCACUGACGCUCAUGCACGAAAGCGUGGGGAGCAAACAGG
RNAcentral lists this ribosomal RNA (253 nucleotides) under uncultured bacterium. RNAcentral describes it as "partial 16S ribosomal RNA". It matches the Rfam family "Bacterial small subunit ribosomal RNA", at positions 524 to 776 of the family's 1533-position model. The record is from RNAcentral.